UGGGGAAUAUUGGACAAUGGGCGCAAGCCUGAUCCAGCCAUGCCGCGUGAGUGAUGAAGGCCCUAGGGUUGUAAAGCUCUUUCACAGGUGAAGAUAAUGACGGUAACCGGAGAAGAAGCCCCGGCUAACUUCGUGCCAGCAGCCGCGGUAAUACGAAGGGGGCUAGCGUUGUUCGGAUUACUGGGCGUAAAGCGCACGUAGGCGGACUAUUAAGUCAGGGGUGAAAUCCCGGGGCUCAACCCCGGAACUGCCUUUGAUACUGGUAGUCUUGAGUUCGAGAGAGGUGAGUGGAAUUCCGAGUGUAGAGGUGAAAUUCGUAGAUAUUCGGAGGAACACCAGUGGCGAAGGCGGCUCACUGGCUCGAUACUGACGCUGAGGUGCGAAAGCGUGGGGAGCAAACAGG
This 403-nucleotide ribosomal RNA is filed under the name Actinomycetes bacterium. Its description in RNAcentral is "Actinobacteria bacterium partial 16S ribosomal RNA". It matches the Rfam family "Bacterial small subunit ribosomal RNA", at positions 355 to 776 of the family's 1533-position model. Lineage: Bacteria; Bacillati; Actinomycetota; Actinomycetes. The record is from RNAcentral.